This is a small nucleolar RNA of Salvia miltiorrhiza (redroot sage), 108 nucleotides long. Lineage: Eukaryota; Viridiplantae; Streptophyta; Magnoliopsida; Lamiales; Lamiaceae. The record is from RefSeq and is a predicted model, not a curated record.
AAACCAUGUUGGGGGUAACGUCUGAAUAAGCUCUCAGAAUCUCUCCCAAGCAUCAUGUAUCGUUUCAUCUCCCAUCUGAACAAAGUGGGAAAUCUUCAAGAUGAUUUU